GAUCAAUUAAACCCAUGUAAGUAAUGUGGUUCAAAAAGGAGUACAGCAAAUAGCCAAAUAUAUACACCACUACCAAGAUUCGCCUUGAAAUAGAACAAUGCUUAAUACAUACUCCCAUCAUCUCCCACCAAAACAUGCAAGUGAAGUUGUUAAGCUUACUUAAACAUUUGACUAUGAGGCGACAGACAGUCCACAUGAUACAAGGAUCUAUUAACUCCAUCAGCUUUCAAAACACUUGUUAAACUUACUUAAAACACUUGUUAAACACUCGACUACGCGGCCGCCAAACAGUCCAUAUAAUACGAGGGUCAAUCAACUCGAUCAGCUUUCGAAAUGCCAUGUACAUGUCCUGAUUGAAAAUAGACAAAUAGUUCACAGACCUACCUAAAUGUCGUUUUAAUUCCCCAGUUACAAUCUUCCUUUGUUCUUCUGAUGCCAAUGCUAGUUCGUACUCCCCCGUAUCACAGGCAUAUGCAUUACAUACAUAAUCGGCCAGCUCUAUCAACAGAGAAUCUUCCUUUUUAAUUUCCGCAUACAGUUCACGACAGCAGCCUCAACCACUACCAUCAAUUUCACAGAUCGCUCGUCAACAUAAUAGCGUUUCACAAAUCCUGCCAAAAUAAACAGAUUAGACAAGGAAACAGAUUUAUUCCAAAAUAAACAGAUUAGGCAAGGAUUUUUGGUUAUUGAGAUUUCUCAAGACCAGAAAUUUCAAUAACCAAACAGAUUAUUGUAAGAGGUUUUUGGUUAUUGAGACUUGUCAAGACCAGAAAUUUCAUUCCAGUCUUCAGGCCGGAUUGAGUUGUCUAUUGACCAAUUAUUUGCAUAUUCUUAGGGCUUUUCUUAUGCAUUGUCAACAUACACCAAGGUUGAACUGCGACAAACUUAAAAGCUAAGUAAAGUAACAUUGACACGGGUACAUGUGUUGGGAAUGGAACGGGGAUACAGAUUCUGAUUUAUUUAUAAUACACUGUUUAGACAUAAAACAUAAUAUCUCUCCUUCUCACCUUUCUUUUCUAUCUUUUCUUUGAUUGUAGUUUGAUGAAGGGUAAAUUCUUGGUCCUAUAUUUCAUAUAUUAGGGUUUCAUUACAAAUUCUAAUCUGAAUCAUGGGCAUAAGUUUGUAAGUGUGUACGAUGUGUGUCCGACACGUAUGUUGAGUGUUCGGGUAUCUGUAGGGGUACUACAUACUCCAGCCAAUCAAAAGCAGCCACGUGGCACAAUUAUCAUUACAGGUCGCCACAGCACCGACCUCCUAGUAGCUCGUUCACAACGACCCGAUCAUACAACGAGCAGCGACCUGCCAUACACACGUGCUCUCAUUCAAUGCACAGAAUAUUCUCACCAGUUACACAAUUAAUUCACAGGGAUGAUCCGCGCGCGUUACUCAUUUAAUCCUCAUUAUGAUGGCGGAGAAUCUGCAAGAUCCACGAUCCACGCCCUUCUAUCUUCUAUAUAAACAGAACUACGAUGGCUUGAUCUCUAAGUUCAAUUCCCCCGAGCUAGAGUACGUAGGCAAUCUCGAUCUCAACGAGGUGCAGCCACCCCGAUCUCAAACAUCCCCAUUUGGUCAAGUCUCCCUAACGACCUGACCUAGCAGUGCAUUAAUCUAGAAAUAGGUUAAUACAUUUGGCGCCGACUGCAAGGAAUUCGAUAUAAUCGAAAACCCAAACCCUCCCACCCACAAAAUCAAAAUCACCCAUUCCAAAUGACUAAUCAGGAAGUUACUAUCCAAGAUCUGCAGGCACAGAUUACACGUCUGCAGGAAGAAAAUGAACGUCUAAAGGCCGCACAAACCAACCCCCAACAAGGGGAAAAUAGCGGACUUGGAGUCAUUCCUGCUGAUGACUCCAACCAAAAGUUCGAGCAACUCAGCCAGCAGCUGGCGGAGUUCAAAGCAUCACAGGCUCUCCUUCACCGGUCCAAGAGCCACACUGCAGAGCAACUUGCUGUGCAGUCCCUUCAACAAUUCCAGGAGUCUCCUUUCUCCAACGAGAUCCUGGAACACGAUCUGCCGAACAAGCUGAAUGCCCCCAAAUUCGACCAAUAUGCAGGCGUCGGGGAUCCAACCGACCACAUCAAGGGAUUCCGGAAGUCCCUCCCUCUGAUCAAGGAAGAUCAUCUUUUGUGUUUGCUGUUCCAGUCCAGCCUCACCGGACCAGCACUCGACUGGUUUCAUCGCUUGAAGCCAGGAUCCAUCAGCUCGUUUGCAGAGCUCGAGAAGCAGUUUGUCAUCUUCUACAUCCAUAACAAGAAACGCCCUGUCACCAUCGAUUCUAUAUUCAAAGUCAAGCAGCAAGAUGGUGAGUCUCUGAGCACAUUUUUUGCUCGUUUUAAGUCUGAAUUACAUUCCAUUCAGGACUUCGCAAAGGAGCAUGAGACCUUUGCAACUAUCGCUUUCUCUCACGGACUGAUCCAAGGGUCCGACCUUCACAAGUCUCUGGCAAUGAAGAGACCUUCAUCACUAGACGAGCUCUACCUAAAGGUAAACCGUUAUAUAAAGCUUGAAGAAGCCCUCACUGGGAGGGAGAAGAACCACGUAGUCAACAACAUUGAGUCUGGCUCAAACAAACGACCUCGAUCAGAUGGAAAGAGGUUCAAAGCUAAGUCGCUGCCUACCGAGCAGCGAGAGUAUCACCGGUUUACGCGACCAGCCGGUUACAUCUUUGAAAGAAUCAAGCACAACCAUUGGUGCAAAAUUCCUGCCUUCACACAGUUGGAGGAUACAUCUGGUCGCCCGUACUGCAAAGUCCACAAAGUACGGUGUCAUCAGACUGAUGAUUGUCGCGUCUUGAAGCGCGCACUUCAAACCUGGGCCGAUAAAGGCUCAACAAUUGGAUCCUCGGAAGGAAUGAGGAAUCCACAGGCAAGCGGGUAAGGAAGGAGUCUAGAACGCCUCCCCGUUCCCCAAAAAGAAAUCAUAGCAAGGCCAGAACGGCCUCAGCAAGUCCAGCACGCAGCAGAGGGCGUAGCCUCUCCCAGCGCUUAGGUCCAACAGGCGACCUACGCGACCACAUUAACAAGAAGGUCGCCAACAAAGUUGACAGCGACAGCGAGUCGGACAGUCAUGUGGUCUACAUGAUUGACGAAUCUCACCACACCCCUGUCUCACGGGACAAAAAGAGACGAGUAGAACAUCUGCACCAUGUCUACUCCAUCACUGGUCGGGCAGCUCGUUUCAACAUUCCUGCCCGCCAAGAGUCCGACAUAACUUUUACUGAGGACGAUCUUAACAAGGUCGUUACUCCUCACAAUGACGCCCUUGUCGUCGAGCUGCGGAUUGCAGAUUAUACUAUCAAGAGGGUAUUUAUUGACCCAGGGGCAUCAUGCAACAUUCUCAUGUACAGGACCUUCAAGGACAUGAGGCUGCCCGACUCAGUGCUCAUCCCAGAUUUCACACCCAUCCUUGGCUUCAAUAGUUCAAGGGAAGACCCUAAGGGGGAAAUUCUUUUGCCCGUUACUGUAGGCAGGAGGGAAGACAAGGUCGUUGUAACCAGCAAGUUCAGCGUCCUCAAUAUCGUAAGCAAAUACAAUGCGAUUCUGGGUCGAAAGUGGAUCCAUGCUAUGAGAGGUGUGCCGUCAACUUACCAUCAGGUAUUCCGCUAUCCCGGCCCUUAUGGGAUAAUGGAACUCCGCGGCAACCAGAACACAGCACAGGAAUGCCACGGUGUUAUUGAAGUUGUCCCAUCGUCAAAGCCAUCCACCUCUGGAGUCAAGGAUGGUGAUCUCAAAGGGAAGAGCCUAGUCACAACAGAGGCUCAGGAGGGGAACAACAAGUCAAAAAGCCCGUCCAAAGAAAAGGCUGAACCUGCUAAAUAGCAAUUACAGAAGGAGCAAGUGAGCUCCCCCAAGCUUAGUCUCGGAACCACCGAUCCAGGCGUGCGUGUGAACAUUGGGUCAGAUGAGGACCCAAGACAUGUCUAUGUAGGUUCAGAAUUGGAAGAAGAUAAGUUCGCCAACUUUGUAAAUUUUCUUUCAAAUAAUAAAGAUGUUUUUGCUUGGUCGUACAUCGAUAUGCCUGGUAUAGAUCCAUCAAUUGCAUGUCAUAAACGGGUCAAUCCCAAUUAUCGACCUGUAAAGCAAAAACCAAGGAGGCUUGCUCCAAAGUUUCACGAAGCUGUUAACGAAGAAAUCAACAGGCUUAAACAAGUCGACUUCAUCAGAGAGGUCGAUACUCCAGACUGGCUAGCCAACAUCGUACCAGUCUUAAAGAAGAAUGGGAAAACAAGAGUCUGUAUCGACUUCACAAGUUUGAACAAAGCUUGUCCUAAAGAUUUAUUUCCACUGCCACGAAUCGAUAGGCUAGUCGAUCAGACAUGCGGCUUUGAGCUACUGUCAUUCAUGGACGCAUAUUCGGGAUACAACCAGAUCCCAAUGUACGAGCCUGACCAGGAGAAGACCUCAUUCACUACAGAGCAAGGCAUUUUUUGCUACAAAGUUAUGCCAUUUGGGCUAAGGAAUCCAGGAGCGACCUACCAAAGACUGGUCACCAGAAUGUUCGACGACCUCCUAGGUCGAACAAUGGAGGUCUACAUUGAUGACAUGCUAGUGAAGAGCGACAAAGAACGAGAUCAUUUGUACAAUCUCGACUAGGCAUUCCAAAGAUUAAGGCAAUACAGAAUGCGUCUUAAUCCAGAGAAGUGUCUGUUCGGGGUUGCAUCAGGAAAAUUCCUCGGCUACCUAGUCACCAGACGAGGCAUUGAAGCAAAUCCCGACCAGAUCAGAGCCCUGAUCGACAUGCCAAGCCCAAAAACAAAGAAACAAAUCCAAAAACUCAACGGCAUGGUGUCAGCUCUGAACAGGUUCAUCUCAAGAGCAUCAGAUAAGUGCAGACCAAUGCUUCAUAUCCUAAAGAAGGGGGCUACAUAUGAGUGGACAGAAGAAUGCGAGAAGGCCUUCAAUGAUCUCAAGGCAUAUUUGUCUACUCCACCAGUUCUCACAAACCCCAACGAUGGAGAUGUACUCGGCGUUUACCUCGCAACUUCAGAUUUCGCGAUCAGCGCAGUACUCUUUAAAGAAGAGAACCAGGUCGAGCGACCUAUCUAUUUCACAAGCAAAGUCUUACAGCAGGCCGAAAUAAGGUACACACCUCUAGAGAAGUUAGCAUUAGCACUACUUUACGCUGCAUGCAAAUUCAAGCCUUAUUUCCAAGCACACACUGUAAAAGUAAUCACCGAUCAGCCAUUACGCCACAUACUGGAAAAGAAUAACAAAACAGGUCGUAUGGCUCGAUGGGCAGCCGAGCUGGGUGAUUACACUUUCGAGUUCGUUUCACGACAGGCCGUCAAGGGCCAGGUCGUCGCAGACUUUUUAGUAGACUAUCCAGCAGAGGAUAUCAAUUGGGAACCAGAACCUGAAACAAGGCAAGUCCAAGACAACCCCCCAGAUACUUAGCAGCUGUAUGUAGAUGGUUCCCACAACUCCAAUGGAAGUGGAAUAGGUAGUGUGCUAAUCUCUCCUGAAGGAUCACAGCUCGAAAGAGCAACUCGCCUGGACUUUUCGACCUCAAACAACGAGGCCGAAUACGAAGCACUCAUACAAGGCCUAAAAAUGGCCAUCGACUUACAAGCAGUUCGUCUCAAGGUGUACAGCGAUUCACAGCUGGUAGUCAAUCAGAUUACUAACAAUUACCAGAUCAAUGGGGUCAACCUCAUCAGAUAUGCUAGCAAAGCAAAGGAGUUCAUCGGCAGGCUCAGCUAUUUCACAAUUGAACACAUACCCAGAGAUGACAACAGACAUGCUGAUUCACUGGCAUUUCUAGCAUCAAAGAUUGAGUCAGACAGACCGUGGGCCCUAACUAUAGCAGUCAAUUCACAACCCGCAUAUCUUUUCAAGGAGGAGGAUGUUCAUCAAAUCUCUGAUCUACUAGAGACAACUCCAGCAGACAUCCAAAGGACUUGGAUGGAGCCUUUCAUGAUUUAUCUUCAAACUGGUGUCCUGCCAUCCGACAAAAAAGAAGCCAGUCGAUUGCUGCAUAAAGUCACAAUGUACAAAAUCCAUGAGGGCAAACUUUUCAGGAAAUCAGCAACUGGAUUGUUAUUACGAUGCUUGAUUCCAAAGCAAGGUCAAAUGAUAUUUCAAGAAAUCCAUGAAGGAGAAUGCGGAAACCAUUCCGGUGGGCGUACCUUAGCCCAUAAAGCGAUCUCUCAGGGAUACUUCUGGCCAAGAAUGAAGGAAGACGCAAAGAAAUUUGUUUUGAAGUGCAAAGAAUGCCAGCGAUUCGCCGAUAAGCAACACCAGCAUCCGAAUGAUCUCAUUAACAUCACUGGACCAUGGCCAUUCCACAUGUGGGGGCUCGACAUCAUGGGGCCCCUGAUAAAAGAAAAGAAGUCUGAGAAGAGGUUCGUUCUAGUAGCCGUCGAUUAUUUCACUAAAUGGGUGGAAGCUGUUGCAUUAACCAACGUAACACAGGCAGAUGUCCAAAGGUUUAUGUGGGAAAAUAUCAUCACAAGGUUCGGACUACCAAAACGGGUAGUCACAGACAAUGGCACUCAGUUCGUUGGCAAGAAUAUAAAAAAAUUCUACGACCUGUGGAAAAUCGAGCAUUCAAGGUCAACUCCUAGAUAUCCGCAAGCCAACGGCCAGGUUGAAGCUGCAAAUCGACAGAUUCUAAACAAUUUGAAGAAGAAGCUCGAAGACCAGCAUGAUCAAUGGCCACAGCAAUUGGAAAACAUCUUGUGGGCCUACAGAACAACUCCUCGUACGUCCACUGGGAUGUCACCUUUCAGCCUAUGCUACGGAGUUGAAGCAGUUAUUCCCACCGAGCUAACAUUUGGAACGACCAAAUCACUUCUGGUCGACACUGAGCUCAACAAUCAAGCCUGGUCGUUUGGAGUCGACCUCCUCGAAGAACGACGUAACCACGCCACUAUAAAGCUCGAGCAAUACCAACAGAGACUCAAGCGAGCUUACAACAAAGGCGUCCGACCAAGAACUUUCCAGCCAGGGGAACUAGUCUUAAGGAAAAUGUUCCACAAUAAAAGAAAGGACAUGAUUGGCAAACUGAACGCCAAUUGGGAAGGUCCUUACAUUAUCUCAAAGGUCCAGAGCAACGGUUCUUAUCGUCUUCAAACACCAGAAGGGGAGAUCGUUAAGAACCCGUGGAAUGCUUUUCACUUAAAGAAAUUUUAUCAAUGAAAUGUAAGCAUCCAUUCAUUGCAUUUCAAUGUAUUGGUCCCAAGCAGACAAAACGACAUGACCAGUAAUGCAAGGUAAAUCGUUGAAUUAGCUUUUUACUUUAUGAGAUUUUAACAAUUACAGGUACAACCAAAAUAGAAUCAAGGCAUACAAGAGGAACUGUUUCAGUACGUCCUACUUGCAGCCAUUCAUCUCGUCUACCUGCCUUCUGAACGAGCUACCAGGACUUCCUGGAAACUAGCUAGUCAAAAGGAAUCCAUACACGGUCAUCAAAGUAAAACUGAUUACUGAUGGCAAAUACAAAAGACAAGGACUUCUCCACUCAAGCUCUCAAAGUUACAAGGGGGCUCUCAAGAAUAAGCUCUAGCAGACAUACUGCAACAACAAGGAGUGCAAGAAGCAAACUUCGCACAAGGUUACCCAAUACAAGAAAGGUAAACCAACGUUACCCAAUACAAGAAAGGGAAAACAAGGUUACCCAAUACAAGAAAGGGAAACUAAGGCUAGCUCAUUGCUGCACAGACUGGUCGCCUGAAGUAUCAACUUCAAUAAGGGCUCCAGCGACCUGGUCACUAGGGCCCAUCGAGGUGUCCUGAGCUGGCGCCGAAGUAUCUCCAACACCACCUCGCGUCUCCUCUCCUUCGGGCGACCCCAUCAAAGCUUUCUACAGCUGCUCACAGUAGGCCUGCCACGCCGCACCAUUCUCCUGGCUUACGUUCUGCCAGUGCUCAGCAGAAGCGUUAGCAGCAGCCACAUUUUCCUUCAACUGCUCAUUGGUCUCCUUCAGCUGCUCCACUGUCUCCUUCAGCGCCGCGACCUGAGCAUCCCUGUCCCUCAACUUGCACUCCGCAACAAGAGCAACAUUCUUCGCCUGCUCAAGCUUGUCAUUCAUCGCCUUCAGCUCAACCUCAGCCUGGGCACCAACUUCAGCGACCAGACGAAUCUCCUGGAAGGUCGCGUUAACCUACAAAGCGCAAACAAAUUUAGACAACAACAACUAAGCAGAAAAUAAUACUUACGGCAACACCUACCAAAGACAGCGCCGAAUUCAGCUUUGAGCAGUUGACCAAAAGAGAUUGAGACUUCACUGUUCGAGCAUCAGCUUCCAGAACGAUGCCCUCAUUCACAGCCCGGGCGAUGCAGGGGUCAGCAAUGGCACUGUCAUUAUCAUACACGACAUGCCUCUCACCACGGCCAUCCAAGUAGUCGAAGGGCCCAGGGCGAAACUCAGACGUCACACCCUUGCCUUUCUGCGAAGGCCGAACAGCAGUCUUCAUCGACACAACAGACAACUCCGGACCCUUAACAGGCGGGGUAAGAGCAGGCGUCGGCACAACGGGUCUCUCCAACAGCUUCAGAGUACCCGAGUGAGACCUCUUCUUCUGCCAAGAAAAUGCAGGCAGUUUGGGAAAUGAAGGCGGAGGAGACACGACUAGGGGGCUCGCCACUGCCUCCACCUGGCGCGAGCCACCACCACCUCUCUCAUUCUCCACAGGCCGUUCUUUCUCCGACCUACGAGCAGCACCAGCAGACCGCUCUCUCUCAGCAACCCUCGAGCUAUACACAACUCGUUCCUUCUCCUCAGCAGACCUCGAGCUACCACCAGCUCGUUCCUUCUCACCACCCCGCGAGCUGCCACCAGAUCGCCCAGCAUCACCUUUGUGAAUAGCAGACAUAUGUGCCUUCCUCAAUUUCUUCCUCCUUCGUAGCUCGUCUUCAACAGUUUUUGAACCACCCUUGGGAGUAAAAUGCUCCUUCAGAUGGGGCAAGAGCCGUAUCUUACGCUUGUCAGCCAAGCAACCAAAAUUGUUCAAAACGGAAAGCAGAUCGUUCUUCCUCACAAGGGAAUCGUCCCUGAUCGCUGCAAAAACACACAGCAUAAUCAAGUCCAGGAAAAGUAAAACCAUCUAUUACACUAAGACUAACGACCAGAAACUUACGAGUAUCAUUCCUAGUCACAUGACGCAACUGGAUACUCCCCUCAACGAUAGACCCAGUAAUCAGCAUGGGAUCUUUCCACCAUGGCUCACUACUUACAGGAUAAAUCAGAGGCAGACGUUUUGGCCUAACUUGCAUGUUAUAGCCGGAAAUAUCAGUCUUUGAAGAGCGUUUGAAAGUAAAAUGGUCCAACACAUCUUUUGCAGAGAUAUGCCCCCUAUGCAACCUAUUCAGGUCAUCAAUGACCCUCAUAUUUCUCCAGAAAUUGCCAUUCAUCUGGCAGGGGGCUCGACCAAUGGCAUUCAACACGUCAACCACCAAUUGAGACAAAGGCAACCUCAGCCCAGCACGGAAUUGAUGCAAAGUAAAUACAGUAGAAGACGGAUUAUUAGGUCGAUAGUCAGGAGAAAGUAAACGAUCUCCAAGAAAUCUAAUCUCUAAAUUCCUAAUCGACCUAAGAUCAUAAUGCCUCCUAACAGCAAGAUGUCGAUGUACAUAAUUCAUAUUCACGAUUCUACACAUUCUACCAUCGUCGCCCUCCACCAUUUCAUCAUCAGAAGAAUCUGGCCCAUGAGAACCACUACUCUGGGGGCUAUCUACCUCCUCGUCAAGAACGGGAGACAGAGGGUCAGAAUGAGUAUUCUCAGACUCAUACUCCUCAACCCCACCAUCACUCAAGUGAUCAUUUUGCGAAUCACUACCCUCAGACAUUACUCUAAAGCAAUACAGACAACAACAGAAGAAGAAAAAGAAAGAAAAUAAACAAUCAGAGGAAAGAGAAGAAAACAAACCUCACGAGCUCUCAAAGUUCUUCAGAUCGCAAGGCAAAAGCGGCAGCAAUUCAAAUAAAGGCAAGAUAAGUAAACCCUUCUCAAGGUAACUACAGUUUAAAUACUGUAGCUCAAGCAUUUCCAGCCAUCGAUUCAAAAACAUACGAACGGCUGAGAUCGACCAAAGGAUCAAUAUGCAAUGCAGUUAUUCUCCACUCACAAAACGUUUCGUAUCCACCGUUGGAUAAGUCCACGUGCAAGACAGAUACUCAAUCAAGCAAUACGUGCGUCAGUUGCCAUAACUACACAGCUAACUACCCGAGGAGACUCCUCCACUUCCCCGUAAGAUCGCCAUGAUUACCACAAACAGCGCUGCAUGACCGCCACGUCACCAAAUUCAAAAAGUAAACCUCAAAUCAACAUCGAAUGGUGCAUUAAGUCUUUUCAGCCCGCCUUCACCAGCCGACCAAAAAAGAGGGGGCUUAUGUAGGGGUACUACAUACUCCAGCCAAUCAAAAGCAGCCACGUGGCACAAUCAUCCAAUUACCAAGUCGCCACAGCACCGACCUCCUAGUAGCUCGUUCACAACGACCCGAUCAUACAACGAGCAGCGACUUGCCAUACACACGUGCUCUCAUUCAAUGCACAGAAUAUUCUCAUCAGUUACACAAUUAAUUCACAGGCAUGAUCCGCGCGCGUUACUCAUUUAAUCCUCAUUAUGAUGGCGGAGAAUCUGCAAGAUCCACGAUCCACGCCCUUCUAUCUUCUAUAUAAACAGAACUACGAUGGCUUGAUCUCUAAGUUCAAUUCCCCCGAGCUAGAGUACGUAGGCAAUCUCGAUCUCAACGAGGUGCAGCCACCCCGAUCUCAAACAUCCCCAUUUGGUCAAGUCUCCCUAACGACCUAACCCAGCAGUGCAUUAAUCUAGAAAUAGGUUAAUACAGUAUCCAAAAAGGAUUUUUUUUUUUUUGUCAAAAUGGAGUACCCAAUGUUACAUAGCUUAAAAGGAUAGAAAUCCUUCUCAAUCUAGAAAAAGAAUUUUCUGAGUUCUAACUGGAUUAAGUAUACUAUCUAACAAGAUAAUUUAGGCCUAAACUUUCUGAAUAUAGAUGUUUGGAUACCACCCCCUACUAAUGGUGAUGUAUUGACAUGAAAACAAAAAAUAUGAAAGCUACACACCUUUAGUCUCAAACUUCUUUUGGAAUGACUUGAAAUACUCUCCAAUCAACUUAUGAAAUGAAGCCUGCCCCCUCUCCAUUUCCCUAUGAAGUCGUGCAGCUUUCAGACCCUUUGAGUCAUGGGUGCAAAAAUUCUCAGCACGGGCGUCUUUUACAAUGUUGUCAGCAACCAGCGUUGUUUCCAUGUUUUCUAAGAAUCAACAAUAAAGAAAAAAAAAAUACAAAAGAAUAGGUUUAGGUCCAGUUAAGAGGUUUUCUCCAGACACACACACAAAUAUCACACUCACUUUCGUCGCCUUCAG
This 11324-nucleotide long non-coding RNA is filed under the name Aquilegia coerulea. RNAcentral describes it as "long non-coding RNA (ACOE_LNC000730)". The record is from RNAcentral. Lineage: Eukaryota; Viridiplantae; Streptophyta; Magnoliopsida; Ranunculales; Ranunculaceae.